Molecule: ribosomal RNA, 301 nt
Filed under: uncultured bacterium
Lineage: Bacteria
Description: partial 16S ribosomal RNA
Rfam family: Bacterial small subunit ribosomal RNA
Source: RNAcentral
CAGUAGCCACGGUAGUACGGAGGGUGCAAGCGUUAAUCGGAAUUACUGGGCGUAAAGCGCACGCAGGCGGUCUGUCAAGUCAGAUGUGAAAUCCCCGGGCUUAACCUGGGAACUGCAUUUGAAACUGGCAGGCUAGAGUCUUGUAGAGGGGGGUAGAAUUCCAGGUGUAGCGGUGAAAUGCGUAGAGAUCUGGAGGAAUACCGGUGGCGAAGGCGGCCCCCUGGACAAAGACUGACACUCAGGUGCGAACGCGUGGGGAGCAAACAGGAUUAGAUACCCCGGUAGUCCCUGUCUCUUAUAC